RNAcentral lists this unclassified non-coding RNA (247 nucleotides) under Hevea brasiliensis (rubber tree). The record is from RNAcentral. Lineage: Eukaryota; Viridiplantae; Streptophyta; Magnoliopsida; Malpighiales; Euphorbiaceae.
GCGGUCAACGGCUAGGAGAUCAAGAAAUGGAGAAAAAUACAAAAGGAUAGACAAUAUAAGAGGAGAAAAGAAAGGGAGAAAAAAUCCUUACCAAGCCGGAAGAACCGAAGAGAAAGGAAGAGAAACCGGAGGUUAAAUUGGGCUUAAAUUUUACUAAAUUAAUCUGAAUCACCGAUGGCGUAGAAGAUUUUUUGUGCUCGUGAACAAGGGAGAAGCAACAGAGAAGAAAGCGAAACGCGUGGAGCCG